This 253-nucleotide ribosomal RNA is filed under the name uncultured bacterium. RNAcentral's name for it is "partial 16S ribosomal RNA". It matches the Rfam family "Bacterial small subunit ribosomal RNA", at positions 524 to 776 of the family's 1533-position model. The record is from RNAcentral.
UACGGGGGGGGUAAGCGUUGUUCGGAAUUACUGGGCGUAAAGGGCUCGUAGGCGGCCAACUAAGUCAGACGUGAAAUCCCUCAGCUUAACUGGGGAACUGCGUCUGAUACUGGAUGGCUUGGAUCCGGGAGAGGGAUGUGGAAUUCCAGGUGUAGCGGUGAAAUGCGUAGAUAUCUGGAGGAACACCGGUGGCGAAGGCGGCAUCCUGGACCGGUAUUGACGCUGAGGAGCGAAAGCCAGGGGAGCAAACGGG